UGGGGAAUCUUGGACAAUGGGCGCAAGCCUGAUCCAGCCAUGCCGCGUGAGUGAAGAAGGCCUUAGGGUUGUAAAACUCUUUCGCCGGAGAAGAUAAUGACGGUAUCCGGAGAAGAAGCCCCGGCUAACUUCGUGCCAGCAGCCGCGGUAAUACGAAGGGGGCUAGCGUUGUUCGGAAUUACUGGGCGUAAAGCGCACGUAGGCGGGUUUGUAAGUAGAGGGUGAAAUCCCAGGGCUCAACCCUGGAACUGCCUUCUAGACUGCAAGCCUGGAGGUCAGGAGAGGCGAGUGGAAUACCGAGUGUAGAGGUGAAAUUCGUAGAUAUUCGCAGGAACACCAGUGGCGAAGGCGACUUGCUGGACUUAUGGUGACGCUGAGACGCGAAAGCGUGGGGAGCAAACAGGAUUAGAUACCCAAGUAGUCCCUGAGCGGGCUGGCAAGGCGCAU
RNAcentral lists this ribosomal RNA (447 nucleotides) under uncultured bacterium. Its description in RNAcentral is "bacterial SSU rRNA". It matches the Rfam family "Bacterial small subunit ribosomal RNA", at positions 355 to 825 of the family's 1533-position model. The record is from RNAcentral.